RNAcentral lists this transfer RNA (91 nucleotides) under Actinoplanes utahensis. RNAcentral describes it as "tRNA-Ala". Lineage: Bacteria; Bacillati; Actinomycetota; Actinomycetes; Micromonosporales; Micromonosporaceae. The record is from RNAcentral.
GGCGGCCAUGGUCUGCUGGGUGAGUCCGGCGGCCUUGCGCGCCUCCCGGAUGCGGGUCCCGAUCGCGUCGCUCGCCUCGGCGGAUCGCACC